This 460-nucleotide ribosomal RNA is filed under the name Listeria monocytogenes. RNAcentral's name for it is "bacterial SSU rRNA". It matches the Rfam family "Bacterial small subunit ribosomal RNA", at positions 1 to 449 of the family's 1533-position model. The record is from RNAcentral. Lineage: Bacteria; Bacillati; Bacillota; Bacilli; Caryophanales; Listeriaceae.
UUUAAAGAGAGUUUGAUCCUGGCUCAGGACGAACGCUGGCGGCGUGCCUAAUACAUGCAAGUCGAACGAACGGAGGAAGAGCUUGCUCUUCCAAUGUUAGUGGCGGACGGGUGAGUAACACGUGGGCAACCUGCCUGUAAGUUGGGGAUAACUCCGGGAAACCGGGGCUAAUACCGAAUGAUAAGAUGUGGCGCAUGCCACGUCUUUGAAAGAUGGUUUCGGCUAUCGCUUACAGAUGGGCCCGCGGUGCAUUAGCUAGUUGGUAGGGUAAUGGCCUACCAAGGCAACGAUGCAUAGCCGACCUGAGAGGGUGAUCGGCCACACUGGGACUGAGACACGGCCCAGACUCCUACGGGAGGCAGCAGUAGGGAAUCUUCCGCAAUGGACGAAAGUCUGACGGAGCAACGCCGCGUGUAUGAAGAAGGUUUUCGGAUCGUAAAGUACUGUUGUUAGAGAAGAA